Molecule: long non-coding RNA, 6147 nt
Organism: Bactrocera neohumeralis
Lineage: Eukaryota; Metazoa; Arthropoda; Insecta; Diptera; Tephritidae
Exons: 2
Source: RefSeq, a predicted model, not a curated record
ACGGAGACCCAUUAGAAAAAAAAUGAACACACCGCAACAACAACAAAAAAUAAAACAGAAGGAACAACAGAACAAAGAUGGUCAAGUAGAGGAAUACGGGACAGUCUUCCGUGGAAGCAGUAAGGUACCUAGAUCCCCGGUACUCAUCGCCACUCCAAAACAACCAGACAAAAAUGGGGAAAAGACAGCCUCAAGAGAGACUCCGAUCAUACAAGCAGCACCGGCAAAACAAGGAGAAGGAAGAGCACCCCCGCUGCCGCUAAAGAAGGAUCUCAAAACUCGCCGAAACAAGAGUACAUCACCCAAAUGAGACGAGCAGAAGAGGAAUUCCUAGAAAAGUGCAAGGAUGUAGUGCAAAAAAUUAAGUUGACGACGGCAAAACAAAAGAACGUCAGCAUGGACGUCAAGAAUGGAACGGCACAGCUAGACGAACUCUUCGACGUCAUAAAGAGCUACCGCAGAAACUGGCUCACUGCAGAAAACGAAAAACGGCGAUAGGGCCCGAUAGAAGAGGACAAGGUGUUUGCAUUAAAUGCGGCCAACAAAGGCACAAAUUGAAAGAGUGCACAAAGCCUCCUUCAUGGUGCCUUUGCGGAGAGGCUGAAAAAGCCGAUCACAUCCCGAGCUCCGCAAAGUGCACGGUAUAUAGGAACUACCGAAACAGAUGAAGAUCCUACAAGCCAACAUGCAUAGAUGCAAGGCCGCUGGCGCACUACUCUCACAAAUGGUGAUGGAGAACGACUACGAGAUAAUCAUCAUAAGCGAGCAAUACAAAAAGAAAGAGAGAGCUCAACCGCCGCUAUAUGGCUACCACCAGGGAGUAACGCCAGCACUGUAAGCAAUGGGAACGGCAACGGUUUUGUCUGGGCCAAGUGCGACCUUUUCACAGUAAUUAGCUGCUACUUGACGCCAAGCGAUAGUAUACAGGAAUUCCAAGAAAAGCUCGACAAUAUAGAGGACACAGCCAGGGCUAUAGAAGGUCAAUUGAUUAUCGCCGGAGAACUAAACUCCAGAGCCGUAGAGUGGGGCACCCAAACACUGACUCGAGAGGAAAGCGAAUUUUAGAAAUGGCUGCGCGGCUAGCUCUAGUAGUGCUCAAUACGGGAAAUGCAACCACGUUCAUAAGACCGGGAUGCGAGGAAACCACACCAGAUAUCACCCUAUCAACAGAACGCAUGGCAGGCUCGAUAAAAAAUUGAAAAGUCCUGGAAGACUACACUGGCAGCGAUCAUCACUACAUCUCUUUCAUGAUCGGCACUGGAAGAAACGCUUACCAGCUCAGAAAUAAUAGUGGAACACAAAAGUGGAAUAUUUCGAAACUGGACACAUCGAAAUAGAUCGCCGCAAUAGACGAGCAGAACCCACAUAACGACCCCUCCCUUAUAGCAAGAAAAUCAGUCGAGCACACAAUGUUUAAGAUAACCAAAGCCUGCCAAAAAGCAAUGUCUAAGGCUUCAAACGUAAAGCAGCAGUCUACUUGUGGGCCGAAAAUAUCGCCCAACUCAGACGCACAUGCCUUCGCCUUCGCAAAUCCUACACGAGAUCCAGGCGCAGAAAAGCCGCACCCCAAAAAGCCGAGCAUCGACGACAGUAAAAAGAAAAAAUGGGAGAAACUACGGAGGAUAUAAACAGAAACCCCUGGGGACUAGGGUAUAAAAUAGUGAUGAAAAAACUCGGCGCUCGAGCAAAGCCACCUGACGUAACCGCUGCCAAAAUGGAUCACAUCGUGAACGCACUAUUCCCCACACACAAAAUAAGGGGCAGUGAUCCAGAAGAAACUCUAAGUACUGCGCAAAUCCCCCAGUUCACACUUGAAGAGCUGAAAGUAACCACUGGCAAGCUCAAGGCCAACAAAUCACCCGGCCCGGACAAGAUCCCAGCAGAAGUCCUCAAAAUAAUCGCUGCAAAGCGCCCAGGAGUGCUACUGAAUAUGUUCAACGCCUGCCUUGAAGCCGGAAUAUUCCCUGAACCCUGGAAAAAGCAACGGCUGGUGCUAAUCAGUAAGGCAAAAGGAGACCCCAAUUCACCAUCAGCAUACCGUCCAUUAUGCAUGCUAGACACAGCGGAAAAGCUGUACGAAAGCCUACUUAAACCCUGACUCGAAGCGGCUAUCUACGAAGCUGGAGGACUGUCCCCUAGACAUUACGGCUUUAGAUCCGGCAGAUCAACCAUAGGAGCUAUAAAAUGCGUCAUAGGAAGCGUAGAAGCCGCACAACGCAGAUGGCAUAAAUACAAAAAAAUAGUGUUGCUGGCGACUCUAGAUGUCCGAAACGCCUUCAACAGCGCUAGAUGGGUAGAUAUGAUCGACGCCCUCGAGAAAAGUUUCAAGAUACCCGACUACCUCAGGGUUGUGGUGCGGAGCUACCUCAGUAACAGGAAACUGCUGUUCGAAACUAAAGAGGGACCACGGCAGAUAGCAGUCACGUCAGGGGCAGCACAAGGAUCCAUUCUAGGCCCAGACCUGUGGAACAUUAGUUAUGACGAAAUAUUAAAACUAUAAAUGCCAGAUGAAUCGUAUCUAAUUGGCUACGCGGACGACAUUGCAGCAGUAAUCAGAGCAAGGGAUACAGAAGAAGAACGGAAAAAGCUGAAUCAGGUCAUGAUACGGACGCAAGAUGGCUCGACACACACAACCUCCAGCUCGCUACGGAGAAAACAGAGCUACUGCUGCUAACAAACAAGCACAUACCUCUCGAGAUAAGCAUGCACACGACUACGGAUACUCUUAGGACACAGAGAGCAGUAAACUACCUAGGCGUAAGACUGGACCCCAGACUAACCUUCUGGGUAAAAAUCCAGCACGCCGCAGGUAAGGCAGCGAAGAUCACUUCUCAACUGAGCCGAUUAAUGGCUAACAUAGGAGGCCUCAGCCAAGAAAAGGGAAAGCUCCUAAUAUCGACGACAAUCAGCGUCCUAUUAUACGGAGCCGGAAUCUGGGCAGACGCGCUUAAAAAGGAAAACCGGUAUAAGGCAGUGGCCAGAGUGUACCGCACCGCAGCCCUCAGAGUUGCAUUUGCCUAUAGAACAGAAUCAGGCGACGCAAUAUUAGUUAUAAGCGGAAAUGCUCCAAUCGACUUUCUAGCAUACGAAAGGAAAAGGCUGUGGGAGCUAAAGAAAUCACCCGGCAAUAACAAGAGCGCAAUACAGCAAAUAAGGAAAGAUACGAUAACAUCAUGGCAACAAAGAUGGGAAAAUGAAAGUCGCGGCAGGUGGACGGCCAGGCUGAUGAAAGAUCUAGAUUUAUGGACAUAACCCAGCUGUUAUCCGGCCACGGAUACUUCAAAAAGUACCUUUACAGAGUGGCAAAAGUCGAAGAGCCGUCAUGUCUAUACAACGACUCCACAGAAGACGACGCUGAACACACUUUCUUUGAAUGUGAGCGCUGGCAAGAAGAACGCACCGCCGUAGAAGACCUGGUCGGCCCAAUAAACGCUGACAAUUUAAUCAGCGUCAUGUUGGAGAGCGAAACAAACUAAGGGAUUAUCCAUAAAUAUGCAGCACUCUUGCUACGACUCAAAAAGCGGGACCUGGACGCAGGUGUGCAGAUGUAAAUCUCUCAGCGAGAAAAAUGGAACGCCACCCUGAAGUAAUGCAAACGCGGUCCCAGGGUGGUUCCUUAGAGAGGGGGUUUUUAGUGAUCUGCAAGUGGCACAUACCGCUGCUGUGCACCGAUAGCACCGAUGAUGCGGAAGGCAUUUUCCACCCCCUCACCAGCAAAAAAGAAAAAAGUAUUAUAGUUUUGUUCACCUAACUGUUGUACGUAUCACCUAAAACUAAUCGAGAUAGAUAUAGGAUUAUACUUAUAUGCAUAUACAUGAUCAGGAUGACGAGAAAAGUUGAAACCUGGUUGACUGUCUGUCUGUUGGUAACUUGAGUAAAAAUUGAGAUAUCUUGAUGAAACAGGUAUACAGGCUCCAUAGUACAAACAAAAUUCGAGUUCGUAGAUGGCCGUAAUCGGACCACUGCCACGCCCACAAAUAGCCAUUAACCGAAAACCUUUUCUUACUUGUUUAUUUAUGAAUUUUCCUAUCUUUUAAGUUGGAUCAAACUUGACACAUGUAAAAUCGGUUCAGUAGUUAAGGAGCUUACCCCAGAAAGAAACGUCACACCCAAAUAAAAAAAAUUCUCGCGUCACGGUGUUCGUUGUCGAACUCCUCCUCCACUAAAAAUACCACUAAGUGUUCACGAUACCCCACUAUACUAUUAUUUUUUUCUACAAAAUUUUUUGUUUUCAUUUUUUUUUUUUUAUGCAUUGAAAAAUAAACACCAUUCUAAGUUUGCACCCUACACCAUCAUUCACUGAUUUUCAAUCGCAAUUUUUAUACUAUUGUGUUCUAUCGACAGAUCCACAAAAAGACAAUCAAAUAUAAUAAAUGUAUAAUUUUUGUCGAUUGGACAGACACACCGAAAUUUCAAUCGUUGGGCAUGCUUUCAUCCGACCAUAUUCUACAAAGAAGCUAUCAUCAGUUCUUCGCCGCCGUGCUUGAAUAGCUCUGUAUCGCCAUCGAUUAGGGAAUAGGGUUCGAAAUCUCUUGGUGUAAUGCUUUCACUGCCGUUCAGCAGGGUGGAGAAGUGUUCCCUCCAUAUUUUUAAUAUGCUCUUGGCAUCGAUUACUAGAUAACCUUUAGGGGUUCUACAAGAGUUUGCUCCGGUCUUGAAACCUUCUGUUAGUCGGCGCAUCUUUUCGUAGAUUCGAACAUUACUCCUGUCGGCCAGCUUGUCAAGCUCUUCAUACUCACGCAUUUCGGUUUCCCAAAUUUUUUUUUUUUGCAAAAACGCCUCGAUUCCCUUUUCAACUCUCGGUAUCUACCCCAUUCCGCACGUGUCGUAAUCAGUUGUAACGUUGCGAGGUAGGUUUUCUCUCCGCUGCGACACGGCACUCCUCGUCGUACCAGAUAUUAUUUUGCCUUGUCAGAAAACCAAUGGUUUAGUUUUCAGCUGUACGUAAGAUGCUUGAAAUGCCGCUCCACAGUUUCCUUAUACCGAGUUGCUGAUGAGUGCUCUCAGAAAGCAAGAAUACAAGCCGAGUAGAAAAGUGUUCGGCUGUCUGUUGUGAUUGCAACUUUUCGAUGUCGAACCUUCUUUGUGUUUGUUGACGUGCGUUUUUUCCUGCACAGAGGCGAGUGCGUAUCUUGGCUGCAACAAUAUAGUGGUCCGAGUCGAUGUUAGGACCUCGGAGCGCACGUACAUCUAAAACACUGGAGACGUAUCUUCCGUCUUUCACAACAUGAUCGAUCUGGUUGGUAGUUUUUCGAUCCCGAGACAGCCAGACCUCGGCGAAGUCUAUCAGCCUCAACACAUUUAGGGAAGUUUCAUCGUGGAGGCUGAAUUUAACGACCGUAGUGCCAAAGAUACCUUCUUUGCCCACCCUGGAGUUAAAGCCGACAAGCACGAUUUUAACAUCGUGGUGGUUCAGUUCUAAUAAGUGCCCUCCAAGCGCUCAUAAAAGGCAUCCUUUGUCUCAUCGUCUUUCUCUUCCGUCGGGGCAUGGGCGCAAAUCAGCGAUAUGUUGAAGGACUUCGAUUUGCGACGGCGUCCCUCUCUCACCAAGAAUUCCACACCAAAUUUGCGCUCCUUUAUGUGAACACUGUAGUAAAUGCCACAAAGACCUACUCGCAUCAGUCCUUGUCCCGUCCAUAUACUUUCCUUAAUGGUAGUGAUGUCAAUCUUCAGUCUAACGAGGACAUCAACCAGCUGGACAACGGCACCUUUCCAAUUAAGGGACCGGACAUUUCAGGUGCAUGCCCUCAAAUCGUAAUCCUUAACACGUUUGCAGGGGUUGUCAUCAAAAGGGAGGUCUUUAAUCCGAGGCUGUUUUUUACGUGGCGGGUCCCAAACCCAACGCACAAACCUGUGGAGGGAUGUGUCGGCCUCUCACUUUAGCUCGCCUUCAAAUGGAUGUUUUCUGGUUACCCAGAAGAUACUUGGUCAAUGACCGGAAGUCGUGAGCUCCUUGAGCCAUAUGUAAGAGAAUCCUUUCUGGACACUCCCAAGUGAAUAGCAAUCGGAGAACAUUUUUCUCAUUUGCGUGAACUUCUACACAUGACUCACCUCUUGCUAUGGAUUAUUUGUUUGGUUAUACAUUAGUUACCAUGUCUAUCGUAUCGUUUACCUCUUUCUUUAUAAAUAAAACAAUUUAAAUUCUUA